GACAGAUGGGAGCUUGCUCCCUGAUGUUAGCGGCGGACGGGUGAGUAACACGUGGGUAACCUGCCUGUAAGACUGGGAUAACUCCGGGAAACCGGGGCUAAUACCGGAUGGUUGUUUGAACCGCAUGGUUCAGACAUAAAAGGUGGCUUCGGCUACCACUUACAGAUGGACCCGCGGCGCAUUAGCUAGUUGGUGAGGUAACGGCUCACCAAGGCGACGAUGCGUAGCCGACCUGAGAGGGUGAUCGGCCACACUGGGACUGAGACACGGCCCAGACUCCUACGGGAGGCAGCAGUAGGGAAUCUUCCGCAAUGGACGAAAGUCUGACGGAGCAACGCCGCGUGAGUGAUGAAGGUUUUCGGAUCGUAAAGCUCUGUUGUUAGGGAAGAACAAGUGCCGUUCAAAUAGGGCGGCACCUUGACGGUACCUAACCAGAAAGCCACGGCUAACUACGUGCCAGCAGCCGCGGUAAUACGUAGGUGGCAAGCGUUGUCCGGAAUUAUUGGGCGUAAAGGGCUCGCAGGCGGUUUCUUAAGUCUGAUGUGAAAGCCCCCGGCUCAACCGGGGAGGGUCAUUGGAAACUGGGGAACUUGAGUGCAGAAGAGGAGAGUGGAAUUCCACGUGUAGCGGUGAAAUGCGUAGAGAUGUGGAGGAACACCAGUGGCGAAGGCGACUCUCUGGUCUGUAACUGACGCUGAGGA
Molecule: ribosomal RNA, 701 nt
Filed under: Bacillus subtilis
Lineage: Bacteria; Bacillati; Bacillota; Bacilli; Caryophanales; Bacillaceae
Description: bacterial SSU rRNA
Rfam family: Bacterial small subunit ribosomal RNA
Source: RNAcentral